CCCUUAGAUGUCCUGGGCCGCACGCGCGCUACACUGACGGAGCCAGCGAGCUUACCCCUUUGCCGAAAGGCAUGGGAAAUCUUUUGAAUCUCCGUCGUGCUGGGGAUAGAUCAUUGCAAUUAUUGAUCUUGAACGAGGAAUUCCUAGUAAGCGCAAGUCAUCAACUUGCGUUGAUUACGUCCCUGCCCUUUGUACACACCGCCCGUCGCUACUACCGAUUGAAUGGUUUAGUGAGAUCUUCGGAUUGGCGCCACUGCGGCUCAGCAAUGGGCUCGGUGGAUGCCGAAAAGUUGAUCAAACUUGAUCAUUUAGAGGAAGUAAAAGUCGUAACA
Molecule: ribosomal RNA, 332 nt
Filed under: uncultured eukaryote
Lineage: Eukaryota
Description: partial 18S ribosomal RNA
Rfam family: Eukaryotic small subunit ribosomal RNA
Source: RNAcentral